RNAcentral lists this ribosomal RNA (534 nucleotides) under uncultured Bacillus sp. RNAcentral's name for it is "bacterial SSU rRNA". It matches the Rfam family "Bacterial small subunit ribosomal RNA", at positions 9 to 524 of the family's 1533-position model. Lineage: Bacteria; Bacillati; Bacillota; Bacilli; Caryophanales; Bacillaceae. The record is from RNAcentral.
GAGUUUGAUCUUGGCUCAGGACGAACGCUGGCGGCGUGCCUAAUACAUGCAAGUCGAGCGAAUGGAGAAGAAGCUUGCUUCUUCAACGUUAGCGGCGGACGGGUGAGUAACACGUGGGCAAUCUGCCCGUAAGACUGGGAUAACUCCGGGAAACCGGGGCUAAUACCGGAUAAUUCCGAUCCUCUCCUGAGGAUCGGCUGAAAGACGGUUUCGGCUGUCACUUACGGAUGAGCCCGCGGCGCAUUAGCUAGUUGGUGGGGUAACGGCCCACCAAGGCGACGAUGCGUAGCCGACCUGAGAGGGUGAUCGGCCACACUGGGACUGAGACACGGCCCAGACUCCUACGGGAGGCAGCAGUAGGGAAUCUUCCGCAAUGGACGAAAGUCUGACGGAGCAACGCCGCGUGAGUGAAGAAGGUUUUCGGAUCGUAAAACUCUGUUGUUAGGGAAGAACACGUAUGGGAGUAACUGCCCGUACCUUGACGGUACCUAACCAGAAAGCCACGGCUAACUACGUGCCAGCCGCCGCUGUAAU